RNAcentral lists this long non-coding RNA (382 nucleotides) under Rosa chinensis. RNAcentral's name for it is "sRNA RchiOBHm_Chr7g0228591". The record is from RNAcentral. Lineage: Eukaryota; Viridiplantae; Streptophyta; Magnoliopsida; Rosales; Rosaceae.
UGUGUUCUGGUUCUCCUCCUGAUUGAUUGUUGUUGUUCGACUGGUUACGGUUUCCAGCUUGUGGGUACCUUCGAUUUUGAUUCUGAUUGUUCCAUUGAUUUGGGCUUCCGGGUUGCUGAAACUUGGCUGGGAGGGUUUAGCUGGUUAUGGUUUUAAUGCUGAGGAUAGGUCUGGUUCUGGGUUGUUGAAACUCCUGGGAUCGUGGGGUGAGGGUUUAAGCGGAGGAGCAGAGGUUGAGUACUCAUUUGGGAUAUGGCAGAGUGAAAUGAGAAGGGUGGAGAGGACGUACCUUGUUGAAGAUGGAAGAAGACAAUGCUGGGCUUCGAGCGCGUCGAAUUGCCAUUUUCAGAGAGGCCAUUUCUGAAGAGGAGAGAUUGAUUUG